This 3681-nucleotide long non-coding RNA is filed under the name Homo sapiens (human). Its description in RNAcentral is "non-protein coding lnc-TRAPPC3L-3:1". Lineage: Eukaryota; Metazoa; Chordata; Mammalia; Primates; Hominidae. The record is from RNAcentral.
AGUGAAGGAUAGUGUCGCUGGUGGCCGGGCUGGGGCGAGGGGCGUCCGAUGCCUUCACCUUUUCUGGUUUCCGGUUUGACGCCGUGGCGUAGGUGCUGCGGGCUUGCAACCUAGUGUGGACUGGUGGGGCUCAGGAGAUUUCUGAGCUUCUCGAACUCCGUAUUGCUUGGCGUCCUACGGGAGUUGGACGAGAGGCUGGGACCAGUGUAGAUUCCACUGGGCAGGGGAGCAAAAGCUCUGCACUGCCUUGAAUGAGUAUGGAAGGGUCGGUCUAACUGCUUAAUAAGUCGGGGUGGAUCCAGGAGGGAGAAAUAGACCGGAGGUCCGGCUUCUCGGUUCAGAUCUUUAGGCUUAACUUCUGAUUUUGUGAAAUGAACGCAGCUGGACGUAUGAUAGAUCUCAAGAUGUCUGUGAUUGUGUAUUUGUGAAUUGAUGAAAGGAAUGUAGAUCUCAGUAAUAACAAUUAUCAUAUGCAAUGUAAAAAUUGCAGUACCCCGAGAAAUGUUGAGAACCUUUAAUUUGGUAAUACGACUUCCAAGAAUAAACUUGAGCAAGUAGCAUGCAUCUGUGAUCUCCAAAAUCAUUGCAGCAAUUACAAAGAAAAUUUUCAAAGAACCAUGAUGGCAAAAGCUAAGAAAAUGGCUAAAUAAACAUGGUUAGCUUUAUGAAAAUGAUAUUAAAAACUAUGGUAACAAUAAUAAAGGAUCCCAUGUUCCUUUAUUAUAUUAUUGCGCUAAGUCGAAAAAUGGAAAAUUUUAAGAAAAUACUCAAAAGCUGUUGCCCACUUUUCUGUAUUUUUCUUUGUUUUGAUUUCUCUGUAUUAAAGCUGGUUUCACUGGUAUAGUGGGAGGAACACUUUUUAAAUGAAAGAUUCCUAAUGAUGAAGCCCCUGAAGCACCAGAAGGCACCUUGAUCUUUUAUUGAGGAGUGCUGCUUACCUAUAGCAGAGGAACACUUUGAUACUGAUUCCGUGUUUACGGUAUUAAGGGUUGAUUUCAGGCGUUCUUUUAAACUUUAAUGAAAAAGUGGAGUCUCCUAACUAUGAUGACAAUCAAAUAAAAUACAUAAAGUAACUUUGCAAGUAUAAGUUGCUCAUUUUUUUUGGAUCGCCUCAGUUCAGAGGAAUUAUACUGAUUUAUUAUGAGGAAAGAGCUGCCAGAGGAAACAGCUAGUGCAUUAAGUCCUAAGUGGGGAGUCAAGGAUGAUUUUUGGCUGGAAGAACUGGAAAGACGAAGUUCUGUUGACCAAAAUAAGUGAGGAAGACAGAAUCAAAUUUGGCAAGGAAGGUGGCAUUACAUCUUUAAAUGACUCCUAGAUGAAAGAAAAUCAAGCAAAAUUAAGUUUUUUUCUCCUAACAGAAUAAUAAAAACAACCUACCAAAAGAAAUGAGAUGCAGCAAAGCAACAAACAUACAAGGUUUACGUUAGAAAAAGGUUACUUUUGGUUGCCAGUUGCAAUCCAGUAAAUGUACCUCUUUAUUUUCAUUCCUAUUUCAUUAACAAAAUUUUUGGUAAAGCAUCCUUUUCAAACCUUAUGUAUCACUGUAAAUAAACCCUACAUGCUUCAGAAUGCUCAAGAGUGUUACUUUGAUACUGGAGAUGGCUCUUGUAAUCAAGAAAACACUUCCGCAAAUCUUUGUCACACCUACAUAAGCAUUAUUAAGCAUUUUUUAGUGGAUCUCUAAUUUCAUUUUGACCAUAACACAUGCUUAACACAGCACAGCAAGUCCCUUAACUGAAAUUGUGGAAAAUUCUCAUGAGGCAAAUUGACUUUCUUUUAGUGUUUCAUUUUUAAUCGGUAGGUAGAGAUGUUACAGACCAAGUGUUUUAAGCUCUGCAGGUAGGCAAAUGGUGUGAGUCACUGAUAUGGUUUGGCUGUGUCCCCACCCAAAUGUCAUCUUGAAUUGUAGUUCCCAUAAUCCCCACGUGUCCUGGGAGGGACCAGGUGGAGAUAAUUGAAUCACAGGGCCGAUUUUUCCCAUCCUGUCCUUGUGAUAGUUAGUUCUUAUGAGAUCUGAUGGUUUUAUAAGGGUCUUCCUUCUUCGCUGGGCACUCAUUCUUCUUCCUGCAGCCAUGUGAAAAAAAGGAUGUGUUUGCUUCCUCUUCUGCCAUGAUUGUACGUUUCCUGAGGCCUUCUCAUUCAUGCAGAACUAUGAGUCAAUUAAAACUCUUUCCUUUAUAAAUUAUCCAGUCUCAGUUAUUCCUUCAUAGCAGGGUGAGAACUGACUAUUACAGCCAUCAUAGGAUCUGGAACCAGAAGUGAGAAGCCCAGGCUUAGUCAUUUGCAAGAUACAUAAGCUUAUAAUUCAGAUGACAUGAAAUAAUGUGUAAGCAUGUUGUGUAAACUCCAUAUAAAUAUUAUUUACUGGUAAUUAAAUUCAUAUACCAUCUUGUAAAGCAUUGCUAUUCUCUGUUCAUCUUUAUUGCUAAUGAAAUUGUCCCUAAGAGAUUCAUCUUAUUUGUAUUCUUCUUAGUUUCUUCUGCAGGUAGUGCAUAUUAGCAGUUGCUGUUUACUAAUGCUAUCAGCCUUUAAAAAUUAUUUUGAUGUUUAUUUUUACUUUUCUGUGCCUGUGAGUUUUCUAGGCAAUCACACUACUCUCAGAAGCUCAGUGUUGAGAAUUCCCUAUUUCAUGCUUAAUUUUAAUUAUCGAACAGUUCAUGUGGCUAAUGUUUCAUUUACUCAGGUAUCUCAAAGACUUUACCAGUCACAAGCACAAAGAGCCAUAUAAAAUUUUAAUUUUGUGUACUCUGAACAGAAAUAUCUUCAAGGGUAGUGAAUCUCAGUAAUACUUUCCAGCCUAACUCACUUCCCUGGCCUGCAGUCUACUGUGAGUCAACACAGAAGCCAGAGUGGUUCUGUUACAAUGUAAACCAGUCCAUAUCACUCCUUUGCUCAUAACUGCCCCAUCCUCAUCUCAGAUUAAAACCAUGUGUUUAUAGUAUAGGUCCUAGAGAAUCUGGCUUCUUGAUCCUCACCCUCACAGCUCUUCUUUCUCUGCCUUAGUCUGUUUUCUGGACUAAGCUUAUAACAGAAUACCUGAAACUGGGUAAUUUUAUUUCCUACAGUUCUGGAGUAUUGGAAUUCCAAGGUCAUGGGGGACAUUUGGUGAGACCUUCUUGCAUGUGGGGACUCUGCAGAGUACUGAGGUAGCACAGGCCAUCACAUGGCGAGGGGGCUGAGUGUGCUCACUCAGGUCUCUCUUCUUAUUCUACUCCACUACUCCAGCCAUACUAGCCUCUUUGCUGUUCCUCAAGCAUGCAAGGCAGGAUUUCCUCGUAAGGUCUUUGCACUUGCUGUUCCCUCUGGAAUGCCGUUCCUCCCAUACCCAUAUGUGUCACCUCCUCCCUUCCUUCAAGUCUUUCCUCAAAGGUCACUUUCUAAAUGGGGUUACCCCAACUCGACCACCCUACUUAAAAUUACAACCACUCCUAGCACUACCUAUCCCCUUUAACUCAUUUUUCCCAUGCUUCUUUAAAAUUACACUAUUUAUUUAUUAUGUUUAUACUCUUUCUCCCUGUAGUAGAAUGUAAGUUCCAUGAGGGUAGAAAUUUUGUUUACUGUUGUAUUUUGGCACAUAAGGCAGUACCUAAACAGACUAGGCACUCAGAAAAUAUUAACUCUCUGAGUGAAUGAAUGAAUCCAAAAGACUGGUAACAUGGUACAAUUCUAAAAACACUGGAC